Molecule: small RNA, 474 nt
Filed under: Pan troglodytes (chimpanzee)
Lineage: Eukaryota; Metazoa; Chordata; Mammalia; Primates; Hominidae
Description: retained intron
Source: RNAcentral
ACCUCUUUCCCCCGCCUCCUCUCCUAGCCUCCCCAUCUCUCCUCUACCCCAAUCUUCUGCCCUCUCCUCUGCUUCCCCGGCCUCCCCCUUCUGACUCUCCUCUCCCCUCUUUGUAUCCCCCAUCUUGCCUCCCUGCUUCCCACAUCCGACCACCCGACCUCUCUCCUCAGACGUGGACGAAUGUCGCGAGCGAGGCCCAGCCCUGUGCGGGUCGCAGCGCUGUGAGAACUCUCCCGGCUCCUACCGCUGUGUCCGGGACUGCGAUCCUGGGUACCACGCGGGCCCCGAGGGCACCUGUGACGAAUUCACUAAGCACCUACUCUAUGCCAGCGUCUGGAAAAGAUGUGGAUGAGUGCCAAGAAUAUGGUCCCGAGAUUUGUGGAGCCCAGCGUUGUGAGAACACCCCUGGCUCCUACCGCUGCACACCAGCCUGUGACCCUGGCUAUCAGCCCACGCCAGGGGGCGGAUGCCAGG